This is a non-coding RNA of Dermacentor albipictus, 3020 nucleotides long. The record is from RefSeq and is a predicted model, not a curated record. NCBI's taxonomy places the organism in Eukaryota, Metazoa, Arthropoda, Arachnida, Ixodida, Ixodidae.
UUUCGUAUUUAGUAACCUAUAGUUUUGCGAAGCAAGGCCACGCCUGGCCUGUGAGAGACGACGUAAUUGUGAGUGCGCGGGAUACAUUUGCAACAACCCGGAUCGUUCAACGUAACAUAGCAAUCCCAGUGCAGCGAAGAGUUGAGCCCAGGAUCGAAGUCGUUAUAUUUUCUAUGUUGGAAGCAAACGUCAUUCAGUUCAACGUAAAUUACUCCAAAGGAUCACCGGAACUUCAUGCUCAGAGUGCACUUGAGGUGCAUGCACACAGUGUAAAGUGCAAGUUCUACCAAGGCCGGUGACAGGGUGUAUUUACAAGGGUAGCAAGCACUGGCCAGCCUGGAAGCCGGCUAACAUCAAGGAAGGCACGUCACCGUCAUCAGAUCAGCAGUGGCCGCUUAUGUAAUGCAACCACCAUGGCCGAAAACCGCACCUGCGACCCCACGCCCAGCAGGAGGAUGUCACGGCCACUCAGCUACCGUGGUGUGUGAGGCUUUACCGUAAGAGACACAGAGUCCCAUUGACAGGGGUCAAGCUAUGGACUGCGUCUGGCAAAGCUACACCACCAAUCGCGGAAAAGUUUGGUCCGUGCGAACUUUUGUGUUGCACCAUGAGUUUGUAUUGCACCAUGAAAGUGAAGUUGUAGCCUCAUGACAAUCAGGCAGGAAUCACGCAGUACACGAGACUUGUAUAAUGAGCAAAACUGAACAUUACCGCAUAUUUUGCACUUAUUUUGAUUCGUCUGCAAUUUCCCAAGAUUCAAGUUCGUCAAUAUAGUACGCCUCAAACCAAUCUGCAAUCCCCCAUCCGAAGUUACGCAAGCAGUCAUUCUACGAGGCCAAGCGAGAAGCUGCUCACACAAACGCCCCUCUCUGCUAUCAACACAUGCCUAUAACACUCUGCGCUAACACCGCGUCAUUUCCUAUGACACCUAUAAUCACUGGGACAAUUUGUAACCGCAAGAAAAAAAACACGAAUACCGGGGUGUCAGCAUGCAGGUCGACCCCACAUUGGCGGCGAUGCCGGAACUACGUGUGCGGCUGGAAGAUUUACGGAGAGCACUCAUACAAGUUAGAGGUGGCAAACCUAGAGGGCCAUUUGUCUAGCCGUUUGUCCAAUUAGACCAAUUGCGCGCGCAAAUAUUUACGGAUGCCAAACGCUAUAUUACGCCACCUUCCCAGACCACCUCUUGGUUUUCUGCUCCACCGAGAGGACGUCUCUCGCAAAAGCUCUUCAAGCUGCGGUAACCACUAUAUACGUGCGAUCGAAAUGAGCGUAUCGAUGACCCGUGCGUCGCCCUUCGGCCCCUUCAAAUACAUUCCCGAGCCCUGUUGCUAAAGAGGGCUCGAUUCCUGACAUCGCAACGUGACACAUCUUUCCCCUUCUGGCCUGUGUAUAACUGCACUUCAGAGAUGCGUAUCUCCUCACGCAGUAGAUAUUCGCGGUACAAAUGCAAUAGCACCGCUAAGCGGCUACAUUCGGAAUCAAAAUUACAGCUGCAGGCGAGAACAGGACGGCUAUCGCCGAAAUGUCGUCACGGCUCCAAUAACUUGUGGCCGAUCGUGACUCUAUAGCUGCGGCAUGUGAAAGAAAAAAGAUGGCCCCUGCAUCUGUAAUUGUCGGUCGUCUUCUAGAGUAUUGACAUUAUUAGCGUUUAUAAGGUAUACAUUUGCUCCUGCUAUAGCAGCGCGUGCAGUGUAGGAUUUCAGUGGUAACAGGUCGCGAUGAUAAUGGAGCCCUCCUUGAUCGGAUGCGCGAAGUGGUGCGAGGGUCCACUAUCAUGCCGGUAAAAUUGGGUGCACUGCAUCUCUGGCGGAGGUGUCGUCGCAAUGCCUCCGACAAGCUACGGUAUAUACGUGAAACGCAUCACAAACACACAGGAGACGCGUGUUAUCGGAAGUCCUUUCAAAGUCGUCGGCAUCCCAUCUUCGUGAAUGCUCGUGAAAUUAGUUGUUCAUAGCGGUUCAGCCAUCACAACUGCGACUAACACGAAUGUUAAAUAGUUAAAAACCCGGGAACCGCGAAUUUUUUAAUCAACGCUGCAGCUUUCAGAGAAAAUCUCGAAGACCUGCGCUAUCUUUAAUCGUGAGGUUCUUGCACGCAGCUGCUAUGGACAGACCAAAUGGCGGUAUGAUAAGCACGGAAAAGACGCCGGCGCUUAUCACUUCCCAGUUAUCGAGCUGCACACUGCUUAAAAAAGAUUAAAAGUACUGGCGGUGAUGAGGGCUUAGUACUUUAAAACUGAUGGUAGCGCUAAAAAGGAACGGACACAGGAAGAAAAGACGACACGACGACGAGGACACGACGACGAGGUCCGUUCCUUUUUAGCGCUACCAUCAGUUUUAAAGAAUGCAUCACCAACUAGCCCAGCACCAAGUUUUAUUGAAGCUUAGUACUUGUUAAGAAGGUUUCAAAAACUAUGAUAGGUGGGUUGCGGUAUAAACUACGCCUUCAAACGAGUGCAUCAUAACGUUACAAUUAUUUCACGCCUACAGAUAUUGUACGGACAUCCUAAGCGCGUUUACGCCGCCGCCGUCGUGCUACCAUGAUAACAAACGCGGCAGCACGGAUGCGUACCGGUCAAAACCGCAGCACCGUUCGGUGACUUGUGAAGCACCAAACGUGGGGCAGCGCCUUUGUGAAUUCCUGCGAGUAUCAUGAGAGGACGGGAUGAUAUUUGCCGAUAAUUUACCGAUAAGUUGGACACCGCUGUACCUGGACCCUGCCGAACCAUAUAGCCCAAUAUAUAGGGCACGCACAGCUACGGGAAAACAAACGGGCUCACUGCGAAUAGGGAGCGAGCACGAUUGCAAAAUUAGACCGUACGACUCCCGCUAGCUUCCUAACAUAAGUUAGGCGAGUAAGCAUUCUAAUGCGCGAAUACAUGUAACUUGCGUGUACUUGGUUACGACAUUUCUGCACCCUAUAGUACCCAUAUACACCGUCAGCAGCACUCACAGGACGUUUCACGUACACUGUAAGAUAAUUUACACCCUAAAAAGUGAAAAAGGGUGUAAAUGUGU